This 1434-nucleotide long non-coding RNA is filed under the name Sus scrofa (pig). Its description in RNAcentral is "lncRNA (ENSSSCG00005019934.1)". Lineage: Eukaryota; Metazoa; Chordata; Mammalia; Artiodactyla; Suidae. The record is from RNAcentral.
UCAUUCAACAAGUUUUUAUUGAGCACCUACUCUGUGCCCAGCACUGCACCAGGUGCCAUGGAGAAUACAAGAGAAGUACAAGAUAUGGUUAUCCGCCCUCAAAGAACUUACAAAACGAGAGGCAGAAGUCAGAUGUACAUGGGACUCAGGCAGCAUGUGAUGUGUACAAAGAGUGCAAGUUCAGACAAUGCAGUGGCCAAGAGACCACUGAGAUCCGCAGGGGCUGGGAACAGUCUCCGGGGGGGGGGGGGCUACAAACAGGCGGGCAUUGGCAGAGCGCCCGGAAUGGGUAUGGACAAAGGCUGCGAGGUAACUGCCUGGAGCAGGAGGUUGCGUUAAACUGUGUGCACUAGGGGAGCCUGGACAGACUCUGGGACUUGGGUUGGGCCCAUGGACAGUGACCAACACUUUGAUCCCUCUUGAUGGGAAGACCUGGUGGGUUGUUGGGGUUGCUGGCUGCCUUCCUCUCUUCAGCUGGCACAGCCCUGUCUUGCCCUCCCCAGCCCCUCUCCCGGGAAAAUGGAACCUGGGCGUUGAGUGGGGCCAGUGCGGAAGCUUAAUACCCUGCUGGUACCCUGAUCAGGGCUAGCAAGGCAGGGGCGGUCUUGCCUGACUGGAUAUUCACCCUGGUGCUUUUUUAUAUAAACUAAUCAACUAUCGAAUAUUCUGGAUUCUUUUAAAAACUUUCCUCAGGAGGACCAGCACAGAGAGAUAAUUUAUUGAUCACCGAUCACAACUACCCUAACGCCACAUGUAUCCAGAUCCUUCCUCUUAGACCACAGGUGGCUUCAGGGAGUCCCACCUCCUCGUGCCGGAAACCUCACAUGCUCAGCUUGGGUCCCAGAGAAGCAGGGACUCCUCUCUGGACCUUCUGAGCAGAUGCUUUCCACUGGCCCCAGGCACCUUAAACGGCCUGGGAAGUCUCAGUGGACUGCCACUCAGUUCAUGUCCAACAUUUCCAUGUGCCUUUAACUCUGAGUCAGGGCGGCAGCAGGUGUGUUUAAAGGGCCAGGGAAGGCAGGUAAAGAAGCAGAUUUGGGCAAAGGGGAAGUCAUGGGAUUGGAGGACAGAAAAAUGGCCUUGGGUGUACCAAGACCAAAGACCAGUUUGGUCUUUCCCAAGAACAGGGGGGCAAGAAAAUGCUGCCUUGCCUCUGCUCGCCAAGGAGAGGCUGGGGCUGGGUUGAAGGCAGUGGGCAGGAGGGAGGAGCCCUCAUGGACUUCAGGGUUGGAAGUCCGCACAGGAACCUCCGGAGGCGGGAGAAGAGGGCUGGACAGAGGGAAUAGCACUGGGUGAGGUCCCAAGGGGGCCACAGCCACAAGGAGGGAGUGGCGGCCGACUGGGGGUUCCUCCCCUCGCCUGCUCGAGGUGCUCCAUUGGCCUCUCCUCCCCCGUCAGAGCCCAGAGACCUGAGGCAUCGGUGGGGGUGGAGCC